RNAcentral lists this ribosomal RNA (935 nucleotides) under Clostridium perfringens. Its description in RNAcentral is "partial 23S ribosomal RNA". It matches the Rfam family "Bacterial large subunit ribosomal RNA", at positions 260 to 1198 of the family's 2925-position model. Lineage: Bacteria; Bacillati; Bacillota; Clostridia; Eubacteriales; Clostridiaceae. The record is from RNAcentral.
GGAAAGAGCCCAAACCGGAAACUUGUUUCCGGGGUUGUGGACAUAGCAUAGAAGUGGAGGCUAUUGUAACUGAAGAGAACUGGAAAGUUCCACCGUAGAAGGUAAUAGUCCUGUAAGUGAAACGAGAAGACCACGAGUUAUGAUCCAGAGUACCACGAGACACGUGAAACCUUGUGGGAAGCAGGGAGGACCACCUCCCAAGGCUAAAUACUACCUGAUGACCGAUAGUGAAGCAGUACCGUGAGGGAAAGGUGAAAAGAACCCCGGGAGGGGAGUGAAAUAGAACCUGAAACCGUGUGCCUACAACCGCUCAGAGCCCCUUAUGAGGGUGAUGAGGUGCUUUUUGUAGAACGAGCCAACGAGUUACGGUAUGUAGCAAGGUUAAGUACUUAAGGUACGGAGCCGAAGGGAAACCGAGUCUGAAUAGGGCGACUAGUUGCAUGCCGUAGACCCGAAACCGGGUGACCUAUCCAUGGCCAGGUUGAAGCGAGGGUAAAACCUCGUGGAGGACCGAACCACGUUGCUGUUGAAAAAGCAUGGGAUGAGCUGUGGAUAGCGGAGAAAUUCCAAUCGAACCCGGAGAUAGCUGGUUCUCUCCGAAAUAGCUUUAGGGCUAGCGUCGAGUAUGAGUAGUGGAGGUAGAGCACUGAAUGGGCUAGGGGGCAUAGCGCUUACCGAACCUUAUCAAACUCCGAAUGCCACAUACUUUGAGCUCGGCAGUCAGACUACGAAUGAUAAGAUCCGUGGUCAAAAGGGAAACAGCCCAGAUCGUCAGCUAAGGUCCCAAAGUGUAAGUUAAGUGGGAAAGGAUGUGAGAUUUCUAAGACAACUAGGAUGUUGGCUUAGAAGCAGCCAUUCAUUAAAAGAGUGCGUAAUAGCUCACUAGUCGAGAGAUCUUGCGCCGAAAAUGUAACGGGGCUAAACUUACCACCGAA